UUUGGAAUGGCAAAUGAUCUUUGGCUUCAACUUAAAGUCACCAGCUGCAUUAGCCCCUAACAAGAGAUUCAGCCUGUCAUUUGAAGCUUUGAAGCCAAGCAUUGACUUCUGCUCUCUCAUGAUCGGAGGUUUGAGGAGGGGAGGGCAGAAUGGCCUGUCAGUGGAUCAGACAGAACACAUACAACAUUUAUCGAUUAAGCUCACUGUUUUAUAUGGGCACAGUUCAUAGUACCCCAAAAUAAUUACAAUAGUAUUAUCAAAGAUCACUGAUUACAGAUCACCAUAACAGAUAGAAUAAUAAUCCAAAAGUUUGAAAUAGUACAAGUAUUACCAAAAUGUGACCCAGAGACAUGAACUGAGCACACACUUUUGGAAAAAUGCCACCAAUAGAC
RNAcentral lists this long non-coding RNA (392 nucleotides) under Homo sapiens (human). Its description in RNAcentral is "non-protein coding lnc-NKX2-3-2:2". Lineage: Eukaryota; Metazoa; Chordata; Mammalia; Primates; Hominidae. The record is from RNAcentral.